ACGGAACGGGCCCCUCCGACCCGUCUAGUAACACGGACCAAGGAGUCUGACACGUGUGCGAGUACCCGGGUGGCAAGCCCGCGUGCGGAAUGAAAGUGAAGGGCAUGCCCUGCCAACCGACCUUGACCUGCUGUGAGGGGUUUGAGUGGAGCACACCUGUCGGGACCCGAAAGAUGGUGAACUAUGCCUGGGUAGGGUGAAGCCAGAGGAAACUCUGGUGGAGGCUCGUAGCGAUACUGACGUGCAAAUCGUUCGUCGAAUCUGGGUAUAGGGGCGAAAGACUAAUCGAACCAUCUAGUAGCUGGUUCCCUCCGAAGUUUCCCACAGGAUAGCUUGAACGCAACGGUUUUGUCAGGUAAAGCGAAUGAUUAGAGGCCUGUGGGCUGAAACAGCUUGCACCUAUUCUCAAACUUUAAAUGGGCAAGAGGCCCGGGAUGCUUGAGUGAUCCCGGGCGGCGAACGGCGCGUUCAAAGUGGGCCAUUUUUGGUAAGCAGAACUGGCGAUGCGGGAUGAACCGAACGCCGCGCUAAGGUACCCAAGUGUCCGCUCAUCAGAUACCACAAAAGGCGUUGGUACCUCCAGACAGCAGGACGGUGGCCAUGGAAGUCGGAACCCGCUAAGGAGUGUGUAACAACUCACCUGCCGAAGGUACUAGCCCUGAAAA
RNAcentral lists this ribosomal RNA (665 nucleotides) under uncultured Isochrysis. Its description in RNAcentral is "partial Eukaryotic large subunit ribosomal RNA". It matches the Rfam family "Eukaryotic large subunit ribosomal RNA", at positions 629 to 1318 of the family's 3401-position model. The record is from RNAcentral. Lineage: Eukaryota; Haptophyta; Isochrysidales.